AUUUUACGAAACUCAACCCUUAAGGGGGUGAAACGGGGGUUGGAAGUUUGUAUGAAAGUCUUAUGUUUUUGAAGUAAGAGACUUGAAAAUUAAAAUGUAUGCUCUAUAUAAGAUGAGAAGGUGUCCAAAUAAUUUAUCUUUAGAAAUCAACUCUUUUUUGGGGUUUAAAACGGGGGAUGGUAGGUUGAUUCAGUUAUCACGAAAUCUCCGAAACUAUAACAGCUACAAAUUUAAAAUCUACAAGUAGGUUUCUUAUAGGACGUAGACAUCCGCUAAGAA
RNAcentral lists this unclassified non-coding RNA (279 nucleotides) under Melitaea cinxia (Glanville fritillary). RNAcentral describes it as "misc RNA ENSMCXG00005016758.1". The record is from RNAcentral. Lineage: Eukaryota; Metazoa; Arthropoda; Insecta; Lepidoptera; Nymphalidae.